Molecule: long non-coding RNA, 1729 nt
Organism: Mytilus californianus (California mussel)
Lineage: Eukaryota; Metazoa; Mollusca; Bivalvia; Mytilida; Mytilidae
Exons: 3
Source: RefSeq, a predicted model, not a curated record
AUCAAUUCAUUUUCACAUGACAUUAAGUUUAAUUUGAUUAACUUUUCAGGUAUGUAUUUAAUUACUGGCAUAAUUUGUUGUACGUGUCAAUGGUAUGCAUAGUAGAUACAUUUGUACAUGUACAGUAUCGUGGACACAUACCUCAGGAAGAAAAUGAUCAGGUCCUAUAAUUCAACAACGACAAAAAUUUGACCUUUUGUUCUAUCAGACUGAUAAAGAAAUACCAUAAAAGCAUAAUUGUUGGUCUUUGGAAUUUGAGAAAGGUGGCAAGGACAAUCUUCUCAAAAACUGUUGGUCCUGACCACCAAAAAUCAGGUUCAUGUGACAAGAGCAGACCGGGUGUCCUUGAAAACUUAGAUAUGAAAAAUAAUAGGUAUAUUUUGGGAAAUUGUAACAUGCUAAAGACUAUGUGGAACACUCAAAAAAUUGGUGACCUGAAAGAUCUUUAGAUUUUGUAUGUACAUUAUUUUUUCCAAUUUUUCUUAUAAGUAUGCAGCAAAGAUUAACAUUUUUCUAAUUUCAGUUUCACAAGCUUCUAAUGCAUGUGCAUGUAUAUUUCUAAUAACACAGUUUAACAAAUAAUUUCUUUAAAAUGUAUGAUUGUUGUUCAGAUAUAGCUUUUAGUAAGUAUCUUCACCGGCAUUGUUUAACUGUUCUCGACUUUUUCAUAGGUAGAGUGACUUUUCUAUUGUUCUCGCGUCAUCGGUUUAGCCCUGAAUUUCCUACCACUGUCGAAAAAUUAUAUACUCAGGAGUCAAAUGUGUCAAAUGAGGAAUCAGUAAUAUGAAAAUAGUCUAUUGUAAAUUAUAUUUAAAAAUAUCUUUUAAAACUGUCACUGCAUAACAAGAAUAUAUUUCAUGUUAUGUGAAGUAAGAAAAUAACAAGAAUGUGUCCAUAGUACACAGAUGCCCCACUCGCACUAUCAUUUUCUAUGUUCAGUGGACCCUGAAAUUGGGGUCAAUACUCUAAUUUGGCUUUAAAAUUAGAAAGAUCAUAUCAUUGGGAGCAUGUGUACUAAGUUUCAAGUUGAUUGGACUUCAACUUCAUAAAAAAUUACCUUGACUAAAAACUUGAACCUGAAGCGGGACAGACACAGGAAUGGACGGAGUAAAGAACGAACAGACGCACAGACCGAAAAACAUAAUUACCCUCUACUAUCGUAGGUGGGGCAUAAAAAUGUUGUACAACAGAACUGGAACUUUGUACCCACUGAAAUUGUAUGUCUGGUGUCCUCUAUAACCUUGUUUAAACCUUUCAUGUGAUAAGUGCAAGUUGAAAACGUUAUAAUGUUUUCCCUAAGUUGAUAUGUAACCCUUUCAGCUAUGUUUUGCCACUGAUUUUUACCUUUGAUUUUAGAUAACAUUGUACUAUUUCUAAUCCUAUUUUCAAUCAGGCAGACUUUACUUAUAUUUCUAAAAGAUAUUUUAAUUAUCAACAUAAAUGAUAAUAUAUAUAAAUAUGUAUAUAUACUGAAUAUUACAUCAUUCCUGUCUUGAGGACAAUAAAAAAGCCAAUACCUUGUUUAUUGUAGAAGUCUGUAUAUAGUUACCAUUAGAAUUUUUUUUUUUUUUUUGUGUCCUUGGAUUUAUGUGUCAUUCAUGCAUACCUCACAUCUCCUUUUGUUCAAACAUAUUUUUAUCUAUUGGAAAUUAUUUCAUUUUUAUGCAAUUUGUACCAUUUCAAUGUUUGAAAAAUCCAUAUUAAACUUAAUAAAAGUAAAAAUGUUAAA